Non-coding RNA from Rattus norvegicus (Norway rat), 20363 nucleotides. The record is from RefSeq and is a predicted model, not a curated record. Lineage: Eukaryota; Metazoa; Chordata; Mammalia; Rodentia; Muridae.
CUGCUUCUAAACUGCGGGUGCAGAGUGACCUGCUGCCUUACCCCUGCCACGGGGCUUUUCUCACCACGAGGAAUUCUGUUUAAACUGCAAGCCCAAAUAAACCCUUUCAAAGCGUUUUUAUCGUUUAUUAUUACUGGGAGGAGGGUGCGUGACCUAUAGAGGUCAGAGGAGAACGUUUCGGAGUCAGUUCUCUUCUACCUUUCCGUGAGUUCUUGGCCUCCUACUCCGGUUGUCAGGCUUGGAGACAGGUGCUUUACCUACUGACCCAUCUGUGGGCCUUAAACCCUUUGAUCUUUGUCCCGUGUUUUGUCAGAGCACAAAGAAAAGUAACCGACACACAGAUGUACGGUGCCCUCUCUGUUUCCACAUCAACGAUGCGUUGCUCUCUCUGUGGAGGAGAAUGGCUGGUAACAGCCCCUGGCAUCUUGUGUUCCUGCUGACAAGAUGAAUUCUGUCUCCAAACGUGUACCGUGUACCGCUCCUUUAAAGCCCCACUUCCUGCUGAGCCAUUCGCUAUACAACCGUUUCCCGUGCCUGUGGGGGGUUCAUCAGUUUUAACCCCCUGAGAAAAGAGAUUGAUAUCUAGCCAUCCAGGACAGCCUCUCCUUGGAGUUCCAGUAAAUUCAUUUUUCUCUCACCUUGAAUCUCUGAGUGACAGGAAUUGGUACUCCAGGUGGAACCAGCCUUAACUCAGCUUGGGCACUGCCUACAGCGGUAGGUAUCUCACUGACUCCAAGCCUCUUGCUUCUUUUUCUCCCCACCUGAACACAUCCCCAUACUGACCCAGUGUUCUGAACUGGUCCAGGGCAGUGUCUCAUCUUACCCUUUCUAAAAGGACAGAGAUGCCAGAAGUGUCCUGGGGGUCUUUAGAGAAGAACGGGGACGGGGACAGCCCUAGAACUGAAGGCCAAUGUACAGGCUGGUUCCUGUGUAGUCAAGCUUGUGUUGCCCUGAUUUACUCCAGUCCUGGCUUGCUCAAAGCCCAUAAUCUCAGCCUGCUGCUCUACGCUCACAAUGUCUCUGUCUACAGCCUGUCCAUUCAGUCUCCCCACCACCCGGGCCCUCUGCUUUUUUCUCUGAUGCACGCACGCACGCACGCACAGCUUCUAAAUCAUCUCUUUGUUUCCAUCACAGGGGCACUCAGGACCUACUUGAAGAGCCAAUAUCUUUAAAUAAUUUCUAUUUUUUGAAUAGAAAAUGCACCAGAAAUUCAAGAUAGCCUUUCAGUGAGCUGUCUUGCUCUCACUCCUCCGCCCCGCUGUAUCCACCCACUGCCAACCACACCACUAGUUAUGCACUCUCCACCACUCCUCUGGUGAUAGGAACAUAGUUGUGUUUUUUCCUCAUGUACACAGGUGUCUAAUACUCUGCUUUUAUUACUUCCUAUCGUGACCUGGAGGUUUUUAAUUGACAAAAGAAUCCAUUUUUCUAAGAUUUUACUUAUUUAAUUAAUGUAUAGGAAUACACUGCAGCUGUCUUCAGACACACCAGAAGAGGGCAUCGGUUCCCAUUACAGAUGGUGAGCCACCACGUGGUUGCUGGGAAUUGAACUCAGGACCUCUGGAAGAGCAGUCAUUGCUCUUAACCACUGAGCCAUCUCUCCAGCCCAGAAUCCAUUUUUCUCUUUCACAAAAAAAGCAAGGAUAGCUCCAAUUCCUGCCUGCCGCAAUAAUUUAUGUCUUUGAGAGAAAGGGGUAUCAUUCUAUGACCUCUUCCUGAGAGGGAAGCUCCAGGGGGUGAAUUACCUCAGUGAAGGCAGAGUGUGCAUAAACCAGGUAGUGGGCUUGGGAGACAGAGGAACCGCACGGAGGUAGAGAAACUUUCUUACCAGUGGGCCUGAGAACUGGGAGACAGCCAGCUCCUUUGUGAGACGAGCUGUCAGAACUGAGUCCAACAGGCGGAUGUCCUCUAGUCCUGAGUGACUUUGGGGCUGUAAAUCUGUCUGAUGGACUGGCUUGAAACACCAGAAACUAACUGUACGAGAUAUACUCCAAGAGAUCUGCUGCAAGGAAUUGCUUUAUGCAGUUUCGGGGCUGACUAGGACAGUCAGUCGGAACUUUGAAACCCAUAGGAAAGAAGGCUGGGACUUGGGGAGGGGUCAGAGGCCACGCCCACAGGGAAGACCUCCUCCACAAGGAAAUCAGCUCCUGAAACCUUCCCUCCAGGAAACAGUCCAGGCCCACUCUGCUCAUCCGGGACACUCUCCCUUACCAGGGCCAUCAGGGCCAUCUGCAAAACACGUCACACUAGACCAGCAUGUGAGUGUCACUCUGGCUGUCCCAGGGAGUUGUGGUUGGAAAGAUGGGGUGACAGCACAGAUUCGGGGUUGGGUAUUGGAAGGGGCUAGAAAUGUGUUUUAUUUCUCCAGAUAACAACAACAUCUCUGGGUGAUCACUGAUUUAAUUGCUUAGUCCUUCUACCUAUGGAGUGAAGUGAUUGGGGCUGAGCUUAUCUUGGGCGAUAACCAACUUUGGAAAUAUAUGUCCGGAAGGUAGCACACCUCCAGGGUCCCUGCUGGUCACCCAAUAUCUCUCUCUCUCUCUCUCUCUCUCUCUCUCUCUCUCUCUCUCUCUCUCUCUCUCUCUCUCUCUCCCCAUCUCCUCUCUCUCUCCAUUCUGGUAACUGGAGGGUUAAAGCUAGGCAGCCUCUGCUGGCCUCAGGGGUUUCUCCAGUAUUCUGAGGCCAUUAAUCAUCCAGGCCCAGGGCUGCAGGAAGGACACUUACCAGCAAUUAACCUGCAGUACAGGCAGCCUUCACUCCCGCCCCUCAUCAGCACACCCAAUUACUGUAAAUUAACAUUUACCAAGCAGAGUGCCUGUUAAUUGGAAGGGCAGUGAAAAGAAAGGCCACACACCUACCCAGUCUAACUUAAUAACCUCAAAGGCAGCCAUUAAUUAAGGAGGAAAUGUUUCUGUUUAGCUCUUGUUUAGAAGACCGGCAGUUAACUUUGUCUGAGUUUUAGAGCUCAGCUCCACACCCCACCUUUCUUUCUGACCCCCAUGUUAACAGCUAGAAGAUAAAAAUCUACAACCACUCGUUAGUAAAUCUCCCUUUGAAGAAAAUCUCCCCAGGACAGUCUUACUGUCUAGGAGGGGGCUGAGGCCAAGGAAAAGGACAAGAAGGACCAGAGUCAAGGGUCGCAAACCUGUCCCUGCUUGACAGGCUGUGACCCUUCUGCUCUCUGCCAGUCCAGUCAGGUUUGCCAGCUUUGGGAACACUAGAAGUGAAGAACAGGAGAGACAGGAAGAAAUAGGGCGAAAGGGAUACCAUCCCUAAAGGAAACGUUCUAGGUCUGCCAUCAGGCUCCCGACUGCCCUCCUAAGGCGAAUACGUGGGUUCACUGGCUCCUUCAUCCCCGGUACAGAACCUGGGAGGUCCUGACAGACUGAUGGGACAGCUCUUCUCCUGUACACUAAUGUCAGCCCAACUCCUGCCCACUCCUUUCUUCUUGGCGUCCUUUGAGUCUGGCUUUAUUUUCUUUGCACACUCUUAGGCACAGCAAGGCCUUCCCUGGUCCAUUGCCGGUGCGUCACUGGUCGGCAGCCUGUGUGCGCCUGGUCUAUGGCCCACCCCAAAUUUGAAAUUUUAAAAAGACUGUUUCUCCGGGCUGCUUCUAGUCAAUUCUCUGGAACAUUCACAGCAGGUCAUACAGCUUCCGGACUCGAUUUUUCCACCUGCUUCAGACACCUGCCCUCCUCGGUGCCCUCACAUGGGGCUGCUCUCUGUGCUCCUCCUGUGAUGGGCUGGCACUGCAGUUAGUGAGAACAGGCAGAGUUCCCUACCUGGAAUAAGCUAGUGUGUAUGCACACGAGUGCCGUGCGUGCGUGAGUGUGCAUGUAGGUCUGUCUCCAACAACUCUGGUGUGUCUCAUCCGGGUCAGUCCAGGUAGCCAGGUGUGGUGGGGCACCUGUCCUAACGCUUACUUGGUAAGCUGAACUGGGAGGCCCUUUUGAGUUCAGGAGUUUGAGGCCAACCUGGGCAAUAUAAGAACUCAGCUCAACUAAGCCCCCUAAGACAACAUCCCAGCUUUCUCGACACCUCCCCUUGCCCUCUCUCCUCCCUGCUCCUCCCUGUGGCUGAGCUCCAAGCAGCUGUUGUGCUCAUCGUGCAUCCUCACCCCUCGCCCGUCCUCAGCUGUGGACCUAUUGCCUGAACCACCUCUCAGAUGCAGUUCUGCUCAUCCUUGUCGCAGAAUCCAAGGACGGUUAUUCCAGGGCUUUAGCUUGAGCCUUUAAAUAAUAGUGUCUGGUGGCAUUUCCUGAAGCUGGCCGUUCUCUCCCUUUCUCCUCCCUCCACCUCUCCCCUCAGCUUCUGGAACCAGAAGCACACUUCAUUUUUUUAUGCCUGCCCUAGCCUCUUCUCUGUUCUGAGUCUGCCCUCAUCACAAUCUUCAUAGGCGUCUCUUCUGCUCUUUGGAUUCCUUUACCAAUGGGAGGAGACUGACAAAAAUCACCAAGACGAUAAUCAAGAAUGAUCUGGUCUCUGCACUGAGUUCGGAUGUGAUCCCUGGCGGAAGAUGCAUGCCCAAUCACCUGGAGUCUUACAAGCAUCUCCCCCUGCUUUCAAAACAAGCACUUUACCGUCUCUCAGAACUCCUCUCCUCCGGGCUUAUCUCCGGUGUGAGGGAAGGAGAGAUUCAGCUGUGUCUCCAUCUUUCAUUUCUCAGUCCGAUCAACCAGGUAGCUUCAAGUUCUAUGUACAAACUGGAACCACCUGUGAGUAGCUCCAGGCUCACUUCCCUCCAGGCAGAGCCAUCUGAUACACCCACAUCUUAUGAGCACUCACUGUUGGUACAGCAUGUCCACAGGGACAAGGACAAGCCCCAUGGCUUCACACACCAACCCCCAUUUAGUCAGGUUCUUCAGGCUCCAAUAUCACCAGCAAGCAUGAUGCACUGGAGAAAUUACUGUAUGGUGCAAGGAUGCUAAUCUUCAUUUUGAUUUUCUCUUUAAAAAAAAAUCAAUGGAAUAGAAUUGAGGACCCAGAAAUGAACCCACACACUUAUGGUCACCUGAUCUUUACUAAAGGAGUUAAAAUCAUCUAGUAGAAAAAAGAGCAUUUUUUUUCAAUAUAUGUCUUUUAUUGUUCCCAUAGAGCCCAAAAUUGUACUUGUGGUCAGGAUCUUGUUUCUGAAGCUAGGAAACUGAGGUCUCAUUCGUCAGGCUGCUGCACCGUUCCCUUUUCAGAAACAUAGAUGCCAUCCAAAAACUUCCUGAUAUCCUUGUUUUUAACUGAAAAGACAGCAUUUUUAACAAAUGGUGCUGUUCAACAGGCAGUCAGCAUGUGGAAGAAUGUAAUUCCAUUCUUACCACCCUGUACAAAGCUAAAGUCCAAAGCUCAAAGACCUCCACAUAGAACCAGAUAUAAUGAAGCUAGAAAGUGGGGAAGAGCCUUGAACACAUGGGCACAGGGGAAAAUUUCCUGAACAGACCACCAAUGGCUUAUACCUUAAGAUCAAGAAUUGACAAAUGGGGGGCUGGGGAUUUAGCUCAGUGGUAGAGCGCUUACCUAGGAAGCGCAAGGCCCUGGGUUCGGUCCCCAGCUCCGAAAAAAAAAGAACCAAAAAAAAAAAAAAAAAAAAAAAGAAUUGACAAAUGGGACCUCAUAAAAUUGCAAAGCUUCUGUAAGGCAAAGGACACUGUCAUUAGGACAAAACGGCAACAAACAGAUUGGGAAAAGAUCUUUACCAAUCCUACAUCUGAUUGAGGACGAAUAUCCAAUAUAUACAAAGAACUCGAGAAGUUAAGACUCCAGAGAAUCAAAUAACCCUAUUGAAAAAUGGGCUACAGAGCUAAAGAAAGAAUUCUCAGCUGAAGAAUACUGACUGGCCACGAAGCACCUAAGAAAUGUUCAACAUUCUUAGUCAUCAGGGAAAUUCAAACCAAAAGAACUCUGAGAUUCCACCUCACACCAGUUAGAAUGGCUAAGAUCAAAAACUCAUGACAACAGAUGCUGGCAAGGAUGAGGAGGAAGAGGAACACUCCUCCAUUGUUGGUGGGAUUGCAGACUGGUACAACCAUUCUGGAAAUCAGUCUGGUGGUUCCUGAGAAAUUGGACAUUGAACUACCUGAGGAUCCAGCUAUACCUCUCCUGGGCAUAUACCCAAAAGAUGCCUCAACAUAUAACAAAGACACGUGCUCCACUAUGUUAAUAGCAGCAUUAUUUAUAAUAACCAGAAGCUGGAAAGAACCCAGAUGUCCUUCAACAGAGGAAUGGAUACAGAAUAUGUGGUACAUCUACCCAAUGGAAUAUUACUCAGCUACUAAAAACAAUGACUUUGUGAAAUUCUUAGGCAAAUGAAUGGAACUAGAAAAUAUCAUCCUGAGUGAAGUAACCCAAUCACAAAAUAACAUACAUGGCAUGCACUCACUGAUAAGUGGAUAUUAACCCAAAAGCUUGGAAUAUUCAAGAUACAAUGCACAAACCACAUGAAACUCAAGAAGGAGGAAGACCAAAGUGUGGAUGCUUCAGACGUUCAUAGAAGGGGGAACAAAAAUACAGGAAGAAAUUUGAAGACAAAGUGUGGAGCAGAGAUGAAGGAAAGGUCAUCCAGAGACUGCCCCACUUGGGGGAUCCAUCCCAUAUACAGUCACAAAACCCAGACAAUAGUGCUGAUGACAAGAAGUGCAUGCUGACAGGAGCCUGAUACAGCUGUCUCCUGAGAGGCUCUGCCAGAGCCUGACAGAUACAGAGGUGAAUGCUCACAGCCAACCACUGAACUGAGAACAGGGUCCCCAAUGGAGGAGCUAGAGAAAGGACUGAAGGAGCUGAAGGGGUUUCCAACCCCAUAAGAAGAACAACAAUAUCAACCAACCAGAAUUCCCAGAGUUUCCAGGGACUAAACCACCAUCCCAAGAGUACACAGGGAUGGACCUAUGGUUCCAGCAGCAUAUGUAGCAGAGGAUGGCCUUGUUGGGCAUCAAUGGGAGGAGAGACCCUUGGUCCUGGGAAGGCUUGAUGCCCCAAUGUAGGGGAAUGUCAGGGUGGGGAGCUGGGAGGGAGUGGGUGGGUGGGUGAGGGAGCACCCUCAUGAAGCAGGGGGAGAGGGGAUGGGAUAGAGGGUUUCUGGAGGGGGAACUGGGAAAGGGAUAACAUAUAAAAUGAAAAUUAAGAAUAUCCAAUAAAAGGAAAAAUGUAAAAAUAAAAAAGUAAAAUAAAAUGAAAACAAAAAGGUUCCUGGAAAGGUGGGUCAGAGAUGGUUAAGAGAGCACAUUGCUUUAGAGAACCCAAGUUCAGUUCCUAGCACCUACAUUGGGUGACUUGCAACCUUCUAUAAUUCCAGAUCCAGGGCCUCUGGCACCCUCUUCUGGACUCCGUGAGCUCCCUGCUCCCACAUAGACGAUAUAUAGAUAUAGGUAUAUACACAUAUAUAAUAUAUACAUAAUUUUAUAUAUAUAUAUUUAAUAUAUACAUAUAUAUGUAUAUGUAUGUGUAUGUAUAUGUAUACAUACACACACAAGUUUAGAAGUAAAAAGAAAUCAAAUAAAAUGAACUUACAGUCAAUGAUGUCAGUUCUCUGGACUUUGGUGUCUGGUUUCUUUUUCUUUUUAAGACAUGGUCUCUCUGUGUAGCCCUGGCUGUCCUGGAACUCACUUUCUCCCUUUGUAGACCAGGCUGACAGUGAACUCAGAGAUCCACCUGCCUCGACCUCUCUAGUGUUGGGAUUAAAGAUGUGCCACCACCGCCUGGCAGCGUUUGCUCUGUAUCACGUCUCAUAACACUGUAAGAUAAGUAUUACUGUGGGUGAGAAAAAGUUGAGCGUUACAGGAUCCAGCUCAUGAAUAGGGACCAAGGAAUGACAUUGCCUUAGAUGACAGAACGCACGUGUGAGUGUUCCCUUUAGGCUGUAGGGCACAGUGACAUUUGGUCAGCUUCCUUUGUGGAUGUGCACUCUCUAAUGGUUGUACAGUGAUGACCUCACCUAAUAAGGGUUUCUUAGAAUGAAUCCCAGUCCUUAAGUGAUAGAUGAAGUAAUUAAAGCAGGAUUUGAACUCAAAUCUCACAUUUCCUAUGUCCUUUCCAUCAGUCUACAAGGGAGCAAAGUGGAGAUGGUCUGAGCAGGUACAAGCUAGAGUCCCUCCACCUUUUGAAAGUCUGUGUACUGCCAUGUACCUGGAGCCUGAUCCCCUACCUGAGUUGGUGGGGUCUCAGGGUCAGAGCCAGCCCUCCCCUACACCUUACCUCAGAUGGGACAGGGAUGACAGCUAGGCAUAGGAUCAAUAGCCAUCUGUCUGGGCUCCCCUUGACAAGCUAAUCUUUACAGUAAACAUUUCAUUAUCUCCUGCUAGCUGCUGCACCUGCUGGUGUGAGAGUGAGUGGGGUGGGAGAGGGGUCCUCUGCUUUAAGGAAGAGCUCCCAUGUCAGCAGGGGUCUUGGGGCCCUCUGAAAACCAGCUAAGCUCAGCUAGAGCCCCUUUGCUGUGGAGGAGUCCGUGUCUCCUCUAGCUGUGUUCAGGAUGACACUCACACAUCCCAUCUUUCUGUGGUCAGUUCUCAUAGCUUUUGCUUUGUUCUCAUCCUGCCAUGAUACCUGGUGCCUCUCCUACUGAUUAUGCCUUCUGUGUGAAUAAUCACAAUAGCUACUGAGUGCCAACCCUACUGUCCUGUACUAAGGGCCCUGGGCUAAGCCUACUGUGUGCAGUCCUUGGCAAAUCCCCUUGCAGAUCUACAGGUAGGUGACCUCAGACCUUCCCAUUUCUCAGAUGAGCAGAAUGGAGGAGCAGAGGCUGAGUUGUCUUGCCCCAAAGCCCAACUUCUUAGCUAGUUUGUUAACUGACUUCCCAACACUGUGUCAAACUAUCUGAGCUAACUGGGUGCUUGAGUACUGCUUGGCCAUGUAUAAGGGAUGGCAUAACAUGGUUCCUGCCACUGGAACAGAGCCAGCAGGGCAUGGGCCUCCACAGUGUUGAUGGUUGCUGUGGGUAUAAGGCCUGUUUGUAUAAUAGUGUACAUAUUUUCGUGUUCCUCCUUUGAAGAAUGAUUAAUCUCUCCAUGAUAAUCAGAGAUAGCAUGAGUCCAGAAGGGAGGGCAUGUCUGUGUCUCAGCAAAAUGGUAGAAUGCUGUGACCUUCAGGGCAACCCUUAAGGCUGUGGGAAAGAAUGCUGAAAACAUGAGUAUGAAAAGAUAUAAUUUUCCAGCAAUGCAAAAUAUAAGGAUGCAAUAUGAUUCAUAUAAGGAACUUCAUAGAUCUACAAAAACAGAGGCAGCUGCACUAUAAGACAGCUUAUCAGGAAAUAUAAGGAGGAAGAUACAAAUGCAGGCAGACUCCUGAGUUCAAGGUCAGCUUGGAACAGAGCUAAUUUAGGUCCAGGUAUGGUCAGAAUGAUAAUUCCAGGGCAGGAUCCCACCCAGCUACUUCAUUGUCUGUGCUUGUGCUGCUGUCUCUUCCUAAGAAUCAAGGGGCUGGGGUCAUGGGAUGCUGAUUCAUGGGAUAAUCAAAAGGGAACUUUUGGUUUGAUGUAUAAAAUAAAAAACUGAGUUUUUUGAUCUGCAGGAGAUGAGAUGUUAGAAUAGCAAGAGAAAAUUAUCUCUUGAACUGUCUGGAGAUCUCCAGAGAGCAGAACAGAGAAAGCAGUCUCAAGCAGAACAUAGGCCACCGGCCUGUAACCCAUGAUUUGACUUCCAGUCCUUUGUUUUACUGCUCUCAAACACCCCUUCUCUCAGAACCUCUCACCAAGCCCAACCUGGUCCUUGCAACUGGGGACUGAACUGGGAAGGAGUUGUUCCUGCUCACAGUUUCAGAUAUGUCUGUCCACACUUACUUGGCCUGUUGCAAGUCAGAACAUCAUGGUGUGUGGUGGAGCACAGCUCCUCACCUCCAAGUGACUUGAAACAGACAGAGAAGGAGGUUAAUAGCCCUCUUUUGAGCCCAGUUAUCUAACUUCCUCACUUGGCUCCACCUCUCCAGAAGGUUGUACCACUUUACAGAAGUGUCAAGCUUGGACCCAAGUCCUUUUUUAAAUGUUUAUAUGUUUGUUUGAGUGUUUACUUAAAUUGUGUGUGUGUGUGUGUGUGUGUGUGUGUGUGUGUGUGUGUGUGUGUACAUGUGCCUCUUAGAGAACAACUAGCAGGAGUUCCUUCUGCCAUAUGCGUUCCUGGGCGCAACCUUAGGUUGUCAAGCAUGACAUUAAGAACCUUUACCUGCUGAGCCAUCUAGAUUCCCUCUCUUCCUCUUCCUACUCCUCUCUCCCGGUUUUGUUUCUUGAAACAGGAUCUCACUAUGUCGCCCAGAGGGCUUUAGAUUCAUGACAACCGUGGUUUGGCCCCACAAUGCUAAGACUGCCUGUGCCACCAUAGCUGGCAUCUGGGACCUCUACUAGAUGGCAGUAACAUACCUCCCUUUAACAUGGUGACCGCCGAUGUCUCCGACUUUCUCUAGGUAACAAAAUCACCCUGCGCUUGCCUAGGAAGCGCAAGGCCCUGGGUUCGGUCCCCAGCUCCGAAAAAAAGAACCAAAAAAAAAAAAAAAAAAAAUCACCCCUGAGCCCAGAACCUCUGUCUUAAGGGUAAGGAGCUCAAGGCACAGGACUAAUAAAUAAGGGAAUUUUAAGUUUUAGUAUUUAUUUGACAAAUUACUUGUAAGUAGAGACAAAGAGACCACAGUUAAAAGCAUGCUUAACUAAAAACGACAACAGAAAAGACAUUCUGAUAAUCUAUUGGACAAUAAGUUUAUCUCACUGUUGGAUUUUUUUAAACUACUAGAGUGAUGUAGGGGUGGGUCUGAUGCUAAAGUCCUGUUCCCCAAUUGGCUCUUGGUCGAUCAAUAAAGAUGCCAGGAGCCAAUUGCUGAGAUGGAGGAAAGAGGCGAAACUUCUGGGUCUCCACAGGCCGGGAGAGAAAAGGGCAGGGAGAGACUGAGGCAGAGAGAAAAGUAGAUUUUAGCCAUGCUUUGGGGAGGUGGAGUUGGUGGGGGGAGCAGAAAGGUAACCAGCCAUAUGAGAUGUCCGGUGGAGCCGCCACAGGCUGCUUGCUUUCCCAGGCGGGAGAUUCGAAAUGCAGCUAAGCCGAGGGCUUUGGGGUUGCUGAACAAGGAGAGGGUAACUGAGCAACUAAAGCUGAGGACAGAUUUAGGGUGCGAGCUGGGAGUGAAAAGAAGGGCACGAGACAGGCGAAGACAGCUCAGAAGAGCCCAGCAAUCGAGCCAAUACGGCAGGUUGAAAAAUAAACUAAUGUGUGUGUAUCGUUCAUCCACGGAUCCGAGGGAACCUGGGCGGGGCUGGUAGCGCAGGUCGCCCAGAGCUUAAAGUGGGGUAGUGAAGCUGGUGUGUGUGUGUGUGUGUGUGUGUGUGUGUGUGUGUGUGUGUGUGUGUCUUGAAUCUGGAAUUCACUCUAUAGAUCAGGCUAGCCUCAGACUCAUACAGAUCCACCUGCUUCUGCAGUCUGAGUACUGGGAUUGAAAGUGUGCACUACCGUGUCUGGGGGGCUGAUACCAGAGCAAAAAGCAUUGGUUGUUUUUAUUGGUUGUUGCCUAUUUAAUGACUUGUUUUUCUUUGUCGGGACAGGUUGUGCCGUGCUCUAGGUUCCUACAUGUUGCGUACAGCACUGGUUUUCCAGACCGAGCCUUGCCCUGAAAGACAUGCAGCUUUAGCCGGUUUUGAGUGUGAAGGCUAAUUCUGAACCUGAACAGAAGACAGGCACCGCCUCUGUGUGACCAGCCACACGGCAUAGACUAAUGAGUGACCUAUUCCUGGGAGUAGGAAGGGUGCCGCCACGUGAGUUCAUUGGUAUGAGCUGGAGCAUGGCUAUUAAAAUUCUAGCAGUUAAACCAGGCCUAGGAACUUGCGAGACACACGAGAUCAAGGAAAGGGUGCAGCUCCCUCACCUGGACCCAUAAUGAGGUGGACACCUAGCACUGGGAUAGCAGCAGCCACCACAGGGCCGUCAUCUGGCCAUCCAGGAUGUGUGUGUGUGUGUGUGUGUGUGUGUGUGUUACUCGAGUGUGUGGAAGGCCAGCAGGUACACAACACUGACCAUCCCAGGGGCUUCAGCUCGGCUGCCUCUGCUGUUGACACUGCCCAGUCAUUGCCAUCUGCCUACCUGCCCACUCAUCCGGACCUGGGUCCAUUCAUCUGCCUAUUCCUUCACCCCACCCUCCACUUCUCCACUGUAGCUCCCCUCUAAGGCUGCAGCCAGACUCUACAACCAGCAAGAGCUUCUCCUAUAACCAUUUGGUCGUCUUCACUGGAGACUGUGCUGUGUGUCUCUCAGCAACUCAGGCUCAGGCCUUUUGAAGCAUUUUUUAAUUCUGCUGUGGCCUCUUAAGCCUUUUCAGUCAUGCUACAACUUACACACACACACACGACAGACACGUAUACCCCAACACACACACAUUUACAUGCUGUGAAGUGUGACACGUGAUCUAAGAGAUAAGAUUAGUAAUUAAGACCGGGAGAAAGAAAUCUGUGCUCAGCCUUUGGCUCUCAAGGAAAGUGGAAAUACCUGAGAAAUUGCAGCCAUCGAAACAGCUGUACCCUGUAAAUCAAUCUAUUGCUAUUCAAUCCAUUCUGAUACUAUGGAAAGACUCAAACGUGCUCGCCUAUGUUCCUGACACGGUGCGCUCACAGCACUUUUUAGUUGAUAUUUGUCUUUUGGACGGUUAUUGUUCUCAGUCUCUCAUGUCUGUUUUCAUUUGUUUGUUUCUGAGACAGGGUCUCACUGUGUAGCCCUGGCUGGCCUGGAGUCACGGCACCUUUAAUGGUGUAUAUCAUGCAUCCACCGUUCUUCUUUCCCCUUCAUACCGGUGGCCUCAUUAGCUUUAAAACCCUGACAGUGUUCCAAGCUGGGAGAGAACUUGUAGGCGCAGCUGCCUUCUCCCAGGAAGCCCUCGCUGACUCAUCUGGCUUCCUCCAGGCCCCUGUCUCCUUGAGCUCUCUUACAUGAGGACAUAAGGAUGCUGCUAGUGCUUUGUGUUGCUCUGAGGCAAACAUUCGAGCCCCAAGAACAGUUGUGGGAGGGAGUCCUGACCUGGGCUCUGCCAAGAAUUAGUUCAGGUUAAUUAUUACCAAUCGCUAGAUGUGUAGCACAGGAGCCACAUCCCCCAAGCUGGGGCCUCUGGAGGUUUCCUUUAUGAGCCUAGCCCCUACCCCCAGGGAGGUCUUAGUGUAAUGAAUUUUGCUAUAAUCACAUUUAGGGAUCUGAUCCCUGAGUCAUGCAGUCAAUGGCAGCAUCGAGCACCAUCUGGUUAGUUUGGCCACAGGAUGGGAAGGCCUCAGGUAAGUGUAUGGAAAGUAGCCUCCUCUGCUUUUAGGAGCGUGGUUCUAUGACCAAGGGGAGAGGCCAUCUGGGAGCUGUUUUGCAAAGGAUAGGCCGACUAUCAGAGAGCGGGAGUCCUCUCAACCUUGAUGGGAACCUCAGCUUCGCUUCCUGCUCCAACCUCCUAAAGAAGCAGCACAAUUUGUACUGUUCAUAUUUAAUUUGUUCAUAGUAUAUAUUCAUCUGUUUAUUUAUUUAUUCAUUCAUUCAUUCAUUCAUCAAUCAUUCAUUCAUUCAAUCAGCAGGAGGCAAAUCCCCACUCCAGCAAGGCAAAGGCUGGGGCUCCAAUAUGCCCCAUGACUGAGUGGGAACCCUGCUUUAUCCGGCUAGGCAUUAUGCAAAUCAGGGGCUCCUGGGUAUAAAAGAAGCUGAUUUAGUGAGGGUGUGGGUGGGCAGGGAAGGGAACACCAGGGAGCAGAGCGCUGAGACCUGCAGAAGCGAAGAGCCGGUUCAUCUCUGAGAGACAGCCCUAGUCCAGCUUUCUCAACAUGGUGGCCCACAGCUUUCAGAUUUUCAAGAAAUGUCAGAAAUCCAGAUGUGGUGGGGGACUGAGCGGAGAUACAUCUCUGUCUUAAAAUCGUGGUUCAUAUUUUUAUUGAGCAUCUCUUGGCAAAACAUUGCGGUCGGUGCACCGGGUUGGUGGCGCAGACGGCUAGAUGUGCCAGAUAUGCCCUUGCUGAGCACUGGGACAGUCUACUUAAUAGGCCCACCUAUAAAGAAGACUGAAUGAACUCUACCUACAUCAGAAACCAAAUAAAGGGAAGGAUAUUUGGAGCUGAGGGGAGAGUGAUCCACACUAAAAGUGGCUCACCUGCUUAAGUGUAAGUGCUCUAAAGCCUCCUGGAUGCUAAGGUUAAAAAGAAGGAUGUUCUGUUCCCCUGUGAGGGUUUGGAUGAGUAAAAUAAAAGCCCUCUUCCCUCUGGGCCAGGGUCAUAGGCUUGAUACUUGAAGCUAAGAUCGAGCGCUAGGUUUAACAUGCUUUCCUCAGCCCAACAAUUUCUUCGCGGGGGAUUGUGGGAAACAAGAGUGGGAACCUUAAGUGAUCCUGUGCGAAUAAAUGAAAGAGCCCAGGGCCAAGGGCGCUGAAAGGAGUUCAGCAGCCUUUGAGGUCGGACAGACACGCAGAACACAGCAGGAAAGGGUGGGAGUGGGGCGUGGGAGGAGGCUUCCAGCUCAAAAUAGUUGGGGAACUCUGGAUGGAUGAAGCUCACGAAGUUGAUUCAAUCUCAGCAAAGUUUGGGCUCAGUACUAUGCUCUCUUGCCUUGUGAAUUCAUUUUCCUCUAAAGAGAUAUCUCCGAGCUUAUGCAAUGCUGUAACUCGGAGAAUCCCUGAGGGUAGGCAUCGCAGGGAGGAAACCAUGCGAGACCGUGAUGGAGUCAAAUGCUUUCCGCCAUCUUGCUUUCCCAAAAGCAUCCUGCAUGGUCCACCUACGCCAGAAUCUUCUCCUCCUGGAUCCAGAAUCGCUGAGUCACCGUCUCAGGCCAAGCUCUGACGUUCGCAUGUUGCGAAGCUCUCUGAGUCACUUUUUAUCUCCCUAAAGUUUGGGGUCCAGUGGGUGGCAGAGCCCAGCCUCUACCUUACCAAUACCACGAUGACUCAAUCAAUUUCUACCCAGGCUCUUCCUCCUGGCCCCCCUCAAAACUCAUCUCUCUCCUCACCACUCGCUGAGCAUUUCCCUAGCCCCGCUCACACAGCUGGUAUUUAUCUUUAUUGCCGCUCAGUUUAUUGAUUUAGGGCCAUCUCUGCAAUUCGUCAAGUUGGGUUCCCAUUUUAAUCUGGGCCUCCGAAGUGGCAAAGAUCCCUUCCAGCCUCAGCGCUUGCAGAAAUGUGAUUAGCUGGGUCUCCCUUCCAUCCUUCAAGCCAUUAAUGGAAAUAUUAAAUGGCCUUGGUUUGGCAGGAAGGUCUUCUGGGUCUCGGGGGAUGAAUGACUCCCUCGCUCAUCACCAGCUCUGCCUGGACGGUGGAGAGAUCAUGCACGUUUCAAUGGUGGACUGUUGCUUCAGUAACAGGAAUCUAUGCAGAAUUCCAAUUUAUUAAUUAGUUCACUCAUUCAAUAUAAACACUCAAGGAAAAAAAUUAGUCUGAAGACAUGUUUUUCCUUUCCUAAAUGGUUUGAUGACCUCGGGGAGAGGAAAUUUAUGGGAAGAAUGUGAGCAAAGAAGCAGCUUUGGCCAGGUGUGGUGACUCGAAUCUGAAAUUCUAGCACUAGGGAAACUGAGGCAGGAGGACCGCUGAGAGUUCCAGUUGGUCUAAGUCACAGAGUGAGACUGUCUCAAAUAUCUCCCACCUCCUAAAUGGUUUACAGAGACUGGAGCAUACUUCCCAGGUUUUCCUCCGUGAAGGCCAGAAUCUAAUUAUGCCGGGCACUCCAUUCUACCAGGUGGGCCAGCAGGGUGUUACCUUGUCUUUUCUUUCUUUUUUAAAUUAAUUUUCAUUAAUUUAUUUAUUCACUUUACGCCCUGAUCGAACCCCUCCACUCCACUCCUCCCAGUCUCUCCCUUGUAAAUCCCCCCCCAUUACUCCCUCAUUUUCUCCUUGGAGAAAGUAAAGCCCCAUUGGGUACCACCCCACCCUGGGACAUCCAGUCCCAACUGAGCACACCUUCUCUGAGGUGGAACUGGGCAGUCCGGGUAGAGGAAGGGGAUCCAAUGGCAGGCAACAGAGUCAGAGACAGCCCAGUGGUUAGGAGACCCACAGGAAGACCAAGCUGCCCAUUCGCUACAAUUGUGUAGGAGAUCUAGGGAAGAGGGGGAGAGAAAGAAGAAACGCUGAUGAGCACCAACCCAUGCAUGUUCUUUAGUUGGUGGUUCAGUCUCUGUGAACCCCCCACAGGCCCAGGUUAGUUAUGGUGUCCUUAACCACUUCCGGCUAGCUUAACCCUAUCCCCUACUCUUCUCCACAGGACCUCCCAGAGCUCCAUUUGAUGUUUGCAUCUGCUUCCAUCGGCUGCUAGAUGAAGCCCCUCUUUCUAUAGGGCAGUAUGAAAUACGGAGAAAGUAUAUGUGAGGGAGCUUCCCUAGGGCUGAUUCUCUAGGAAGCCCAGCCCUAGAGAAGACAUGUUAUUGGUGUUUCCCAUAAUACUUCUGGGAGAGGAGGAAAUUGGACCGGCAGGUGGAGAAGCAAGCUCUGGAGUCAGUGCCCCGCCCACCCGUGGCCUCAUCCAUACACCUGCAACACAGUACCAGGAGACCUGGCGCUUACAGAGCCACCUUUCUCAAAGGAACCUGAUCCUCCCGGAGAUGGACGCUGGUCUGAAAAUGUAGUGGGCGUGGCCGUCCUCUCAGCUGACACACCCUUUGACCCCUUUGCUUACUACUUGAACUACUUGGAGCUGGCUGAUGCCCAGAGCCGAGGACACUUGCUUGUAUAUCCAAACAAGUAAAGUGUAAUGAGACCCAUUCAUUCAGACAUAGCAGAGAUGAACCAGAGGCCCCCAUCUCCCGCAAGAGCGGGGCAAGUCAGCUGCCUGAAGGAGGGGCAUAAGAGUCAGUUCCCCACGGAGGACUUCGUUGACAGCUGAAGGGUGAGGUGGAGCGACAGAGAGACACACGCUCACCCUUCACCCCUCAUGAGUGCUGGGGCAGCGCUGCUGGCUGGUCAUUUCCCCAAAGCUUGCCAGAGCAAGUGACAUAAAUCAAAUUUUCAUUUCAUUCCUUCAGGCUCGACCCUUCCGUCAGGUACUCAACAGCUGCCUCCUGAGCAGAUGUACAGCUCAUUAGUCCAUCGUGCCGCUAGAGCCAAGUCCAGGACCCCCAACCCCCAUUCCUGGGCCCCGGGGGAGGGAAGGACGCUAGCAGCCUUUGUUCUUCCUCCGUCGAGCACUUUGCAUAUCAGCCACAAGAGGGCGAAAGCUGCACACACAUCGCUGGUUCCCAGAACCAGCUCAACCCUACACUGGUGAGGGCUGGAAGGUGAUGGUGGAGGGUUGCUGAGACCUUCUUAUCUUCAGAGUCUUUCAAGCCUUCCUCUGACGUGUAGGAAUAGCUUGUUUGGUGGUCAGGUGCUCGGUUUAUGAGGACUGAACUGGAUUCAGAUGCCUGGUCUGAUGCUCUCAGCCUUAGGGCCUUCAUGUAUGAAAUGGGAUGGUAUUGCUUGCCGUUGGACUCCCCCACCCCUACCCCUAGAGAUCAUGAGGCUAAAAUGAGACAGACGAAGUGAGAAGCACCUAAGUGUCUUGACAAAGGAAGGAGUCAUCUAAGACCAUAAAACGACGCAAAUUUUCAUGUCUUUAUUUUCUCUUACUGUGUCUAGGGGAAUACUCAUUAACCACACAUUUAAACCUUCCUUAAUAUAGAUGAACAGAAUCAAUCAUAUUCAGAAUCUGUCUGUCUGUAUGUAUGUAUGUUUCUCUCUCUCUCUCUCUCUCUCUCUCUCUCACACACACACACACACACACACACACACACACACACACACACACAUAUCUCUGUCUCUCCAGGCUGCUGGGGAUAGAAGCCAGGGCCUUGCACAUGCUCACUGAGUCCUCCCCUGCUGAGCUAUGUUCUCAGCAUAGUCCUCUUCUCCAAAACAAACCAAGCCAAGAAGGGCCAUGGUCUUGUCUGUAAGUCAACAGUUCGACCUGUUGUCUCCAUCCUUACGUGUGGCAUUCAGGAAGCAUCGGUCGGUUGGAGAGUGAAACUGUUGUGUCUGGGGCUCACCCCCAUUCUGUCCCUGGUGGGCCUGUGAUUCUCUCCCUGCUCUGUCCAGGACUCUCACCCCCCCCCCCCCGCCCCUGCUUCCCACAUGUGCAUGAGUCCCCCGCCUUUGCUGCUGCACUCACAUCAAGGCACAGUCGCCUCCUCUCCCCCCACAGUUCUGGCAUUAGCAACCUGCCCUGGUGCCUUUCUAGAGUAAAGUGGGUUCCUGCCAUGCUCUUUCUAAGAGGCAUCAUGGCUGCUUUCUGCCUGUGGACAAAGCUUGACUGGCAUCAGGGUCCUUAGAGCAGCGUGUACUGGCUUCAAAGCCUGUGCCAGGCUCUUGGCUAAGUGCUAUGUACUCACAAGACUGUAAUCGCCUUCAUAGAUAUCUUGAGACAUGGAGUCAUACUAUCACCUUCAAUUUAUAGAUAGAACUGGGCACCGAGAAGUGACCUUCUUGGUAACCUAGUGAAGGGUACAAGGGACCACGAUCUAAGCCCUGCUUUCAGAGACUUCCCUGAUUCACAGGACAAGUAAUGAGAUGCCUAGUGUCACUUUGAUGGACACGCUGAGCCUCCUUCAAGCAGUAGAACUCACGGUUCUUUCUCCCAUGUUUUCCGGGUGCCCUGGUUAUGUGUAAGACACUUUGUCAGGUGUUGCUGUCUUGGUUACUAGAAUGGAAAGGGUUCAAGCACAGAACAGGGGCAGGACCAGUUAUAAAAUUCUGACUAAAUCAAAUCUUCCUUAUUCUAGUAGCUUUACUGAGCCAUGCCUCUCACCCCAUUUACCAUUAGCCUCUAUAUGGCUGGAUUAUUAUUAUUUGAAUUUUGAAUGCCCCAAAGGUCCAUGUGUUGAAAGCUCGGUUCCUAGUGUGGUGCUAUCGGGAGAUGGUGGAACCUUUAGGAGCUGGAGCCCGGUGAGAGAUGCAGGCCACUGGGCUCUGCAACCUUUCCUUGUGCUUCCUGGUCAUGAGGAGGUGGUUUUGUAGCGCCAUGCGUUCCCACUGUGAUGUGCUGCUUGUCACAGGCCCAAAGGAAGGGGCUAGAACCUCCGAGCUGUGAGCCAAAAUCAAGUUGGUUAUCUCAGAUUGCUAUAGUGCUAGAGAGCUGACAACCUCAUGGGCUCUGGGCAUGCCACAACCUGUUCAUGCUCCAUCUCCUAGGACAGACCUCUUUGUGGAUAGAUCCACUGUCCAUCCUGGACCCUACUGUGCUCUCCUUCUCUAGGCCAGAACUCUCUCCGUGUCCUGGCCUGGCUAGGCAUUUUGCACAUGACAGACAGCCUCUUACCUUAUGCCACCAUCCUCGACCUUCUUACCCCAGGCAGGAAACUGUCCUCAGCUUUGUCCUUGCUGUCUGUCCCCAUUGCACAGCCCACACACAGCCCCAGAGGGGGUGUAGGAGCCGUUCUAUAUGCAGAGGCAGAUACAUAUUCAAAAGCAAGUAGGAUGGGAACGACUUACACGGUGCUGUAACGAUCCGCAUGGAAAUAUUCCCUCACCUCUUGGUGAAAUUAGCAUUCCGAACCACGGAAUACAUUAGGUUUUAUGAUCUCCCCGCUUCUUUGGGGAAUAUAAAUCUGGAAACAUCAUCUUCAUAUGACAGGGCAAAGAGUCCCUGGGGACUCAAGAUGUUUGAGAACGUUAACUGAGAAUCAGAAAUAGUUGGCAAUUAAUAUUGGGAUUUUGUUUAUGGGCACGAAUAAACCCCAGGUCUUGGGCUGACCUGUAAAAAUCUGCCUAUGACAAAAAUUCUGAAGGCAAAUGAUGGGGCAGGAAACAAUCUGAAUUUAAAGAAGGGAUCUUGGGGGUGGGGGGCUGGGCAGCAGUGCUUAGAAGCUCAUCUUUCCUGACCCUGCAUUUGAAUUCUGUGCACAGCGCCGUAGUAACUGACUGAAAUAAAGAUGAGAGAAGCUAGGGAUUUAUAUCAGCAGUUGUAGUCCAAGCUUUGUGGCUAGAGGGAGUGAAACGGGGAGUGCUCUUUCCGAGGCUCGAGGAGGCUCGAGGCUCGUUGAGGGAACUCCUCACUCUUCCUACACCACUAAAAUGAAGAACCAGUGGCCGUCUGGGCAGUGAAGGGACACAGGAGGAAACGCUGGCACUCCGAGCCUUACUGAGCCUUACACCCUGAAGGGGAGGUGAGGAGUCUUCAUGGAAUGAGUCAGCUUUGUGUGUGAAAACAUCCUUCCCGUCUCCUGCUUUCUGCUUUCAGUCCUCCAGCUCUUGUGUAACCAGAACUGGCCGGGCUCUUCCUGGGUCUGGAGCCCAUCCCAGAAUACUUCUAGAAUGAGGACAAUUACUGCCUAAACUGGACAUGGGGGUGCGAGCCUGUAACCACAGCACUUGGGAGCCUGAGGCCAGAGGACUGAGUUCAAGGUCAGCCUGGCCUACAAUGAGUCUCUGAAAAAGCAACGAACAAACAAAAACAAUGUGGAGAACUAUGAGGGUGGAGAAUAAAAGCUCGUUAAAACUGGCAA